Molecule: ribosomal RNA, 758 nt
Filed under: uncultured bacterium
Lineage: Bacteria
Description: bacterial SSU rRNA
Rfam family: Bacterial small subunit ribosomal RNA
Source: RNAcentral
AGAGUUUGAUCCUGGCUCAGAAUCAACGCUGGCGGCGCGCCUAACACAUGCAAGUCGAACGAGAAAGUGGAGCAAUCCAUGAGUAAAGUGGCGUACGGGUGAGUAACACGUGGGUGAUCUACCUCUUAGUGAGGAAUAACCCUGGGAAACCGGGGCUAAUACCGCAUAAGCCUUAGCAGGGAAAGUCGAAAGACGCUGAGAGAGGAGCCCGCGGCCGAUUAGCUAGUUGGUGAGGUAAGAGCCCACCAAGGCAGAGAUCGGUAGCCGGCCUGAGAGGGCACACGGCCACACUGGCACUGAAACACGGGCCAGACUCCUACGGGAGGCAGCAGUGGGGAAUCUUGCACAAUGGGGGAAACCCUGAUGCAGCGACGCCGCGUGAGCGAUGAAGCCCUUCGGGGUGUAAAGCUCUUUCGUCAGGGAAGAUAGUGACGGUACCUGGAGAAGCAGCUGCGGCUAACUACGUGCCAGCAGCCGCGGUAAUACGUAGGCAGCAAGCGUUGUUCGGAGUUACUGGGCGUAAAGGGUGUGUAGGCGGUUCUUUAAGUUUGGUGUGAAAUCUCCCGGCUCAACCGGGAGGGUGCGCCGAAUACUGAGGGACUAGAGUGUGGGAGAGGAAAGUGGAAUUCCUGGUGUAGCGGUGAAAUGCGUAGAUAUCAGGAGGAACACCGGUGGUGUAGACGGCUUUCUGGACCAUAACUGACGCUGAGACACGAAAGCGUGGGGUAGCAAACAAGGAUUAGAUACCCCUGUAGUCC